AAAAUGUCUAUCUUCAUAACAAAAAUAAAAUGUAAAGAUGGUUUGUAUUUAUUGUUCUCAAGUUAUUUUUCUAUAAUGUAAUUUUAAAUUAACCCAUUCUAAGCAACCAAAUAAUGUUUUUACUAAAUAUCCAUGUGAAAUUUAUGUUUUUAAUUGAUAUUGAAAUAACUUUUUUCCACAGCUUAAUAUUUCUAUAUAAAUUGUUAACCACCAAUUAAAAUUUUUUCAUGUUAGACAUAUUAUAAUGUUUCAUGUUCAACAUACUGUUAUCUUUGUGUCAAGUAAAAUUCAUUGGUUAUUCUGCUUCUCACUGCCUUACCUGUUAGAUUCAUGUUUUUCAGUUAACCGAACCUGUCAUCAAUAAUAAAUACAUUAAAUGUGUGUCAAGUUUCCCAUGUUAGUGAUACAAAUCUUUUGAUUCAUAGAGGCAUGGUCUUGGCAUGAAAUUAAGGGUUGUCAGUUGUAGUGGUUUUUGUGGUUUUUUUUUUAUAGUCACCACUAUUUGCAUAAAUAUCUUUUAUUUUCCACUGCUUCUCUGUGAUAGUUGUUCAUCUUUGAUUCCAGUUGUCAUAAGAAUUAAUGUGAUUUAGUUUCUUUUGAAAUAUUCAUUUCAUUUCCCUAGAAAUGGUUGAUUAAAGCUCUUAUAAAUGGAUGUAGAAUAAAGGGGGGAGGAAGAGAUUGAGAAUUGAUUUCAUGUUCCAUGGUAUUAUUUCGUAUUAGUAAGAAGUCUAACUUGAUGUGAUGGUUCUUCCUUGUGUAAUUGAAAUCUGUUUUAAUAAAGACAAAAAUCCACCUCGAAAGGCAACAAGGUGUCCGGAUUGAAUUUCGGGAAUAAAAAUGUUUCAAACAGUUGGCAUCAUUUAUUUUCACAUAUCCUAGAUAUAAUGCUGUUAUUAUUACUAUAAAAAUGAAUAACUCUCAUUCUUAGGAACAGCUAGGGUCGAGCUUCUUUAAAUGGAAACAAAAUUCUUUGUAGUAGCCCCCUUAUUUGCAUUUCAUCACCAUAGAAUAAUAUUGUUUAGGUUCUGUGAGGAUUUGUUUCAGUACAUUUAGUAGACAUCUUGAAAGCAGCGUCAGAAUCCCCCCCUUUUUUUUAACCCUGGCGUAAGGUCUGUCUGGUACCGUGUUUUCCUUCACUCGAUAACAUCUAUAUAUUUUUUAGACCCUCCUCCUCUGAUUCUCUCUACCUACUCGAGAGUUUGUUUCCUUUGAUCGCACAUCUCAGGUUCCGUAAUUUGCUCAUUCCCCCAACUCUGGAGUUUUUAAAUACAUAUUUUUGACAAAGUGAUAUAACUGCAAUAUCUUUUUUUUUAAUUAAUUCAUUUUUUUUAAAAUGGAAUAUUGAAAGAUAACAAUGUCUUUGAUAAUCUUCUCUUAUUGUCUGCUACACUGUUAAUUUUAUCAUUAGAUUUCCUGUCACGUUUGUAUUAUGGAUUUGGUUUGUAUUCAAUCUGUCUACGGGAGCAUCGUCACUUACUGUAGCAGUUUUGUUUUGUCAUGAUUUUAAAUACGUUUUUUAUUAAGAUCGCUCUCUAUUUUUUUUUUCUUGUUUUUUUUUUUUUU
Biomphalaria pfeifferi is the source of this 1563-nucleotide non-coding RNA. NCBI's taxonomy places the organism in Eukaryota, Metazoa, Mollusca, Gastropoda, Planorbidae. The record is from the annotation of a GenBank genome assembly.